CCUACGGGUGGCAGCAGUGAGGAAUAUUGGUCAAUGGACGAGAGUCUGAACCAGCCAAGUAGCGUGAAGGAUGACUGCCCUAUGGGUUGUAAACUUCUUUUAUAUGGGAAUAAAAUGUUCCACGUGUGGGGUUUUGUAUGUACCAUAUGAAUAAGGAUCGGCUAACUCCGUGCCAGCAGCCGCGGUAAUACGGAGGAUCCGAGCGUUAUCCGGAUUUAUUGGGUUUAAAGGGGGCGUAGGUGGAUUGUUAAGUCAGUUGUGAAAGUUUGCGGCUCAACCGUAAAAUUGCAGUUGAAACUGGUAGUCUUGAGUACAGUAGAGGUGGGCGGAAUGCGUGGUGUAGCGGUGAAAUGCUUAGAUAUCACGAAGAACUCCGAUUGCGAAGGCAGCUCACCGGACUGCAACUGACACUGAGGCUCGAAAGUGUGGGUAUCAAACAGGAUUAGAUACCCCAGUAGUC
RNAcentral lists this ribosomal RNA (460 nucleotides) under uncultured bacterium. RNAcentral's name for it is "partial 16S ribosomal RNA". It matches the Rfam family "Bacterial small subunit ribosomal RNA", at positions 338 to 795 of the family's 1533-position model. The record is from RNAcentral.